Long non-coding RNA from Poecile atricapillus (Black-capped chickadee), 154 nucleotides. RefSeq lists it as uncharacterized. The record is from RefSeq and is a predicted model, not a curated record. The transcript has 3 exons. NCBI's taxonomy places the organism in Eukaryota, Metazoa, Chordata, Aves, Passeriformes, Paridae.
CCCCAGGUGUCCCCAGAUGUCCCCAGGUGUGUCCCCAGGUGUCCCCAGGUGUAUCUCAGGUGUCCCCAGGUGUAUCUCAGGUGUCCCCAGGUGUCCCCAGGUGUGUCCCCAGGUGUCCCCAGGUGUGUCCCCAGGUGUCCCCAGGUGUCCCCCC